UUGAAUUCCAAGAAAUUUAAGGACAACUUGAAGGAAACCUUGUACUUUUUAAAGAUAAUUUGAACGUUCAUGAAAGCUUAAUGAACAUAUGACAACAAAAGCUUAAAGAUUAAAACAUGAGUUCAAAACAAAUCCGUUUCCCAUAUCUUUAAGCCUAAAUGCUUGAAGCACCUAGACUCUUUUAAUCACUACAUAAGGGAGAAGAAGGUCCUUUAUAUCUUUGAAGCACUACCUUGAACAAACCUCAAGGUUUGAUCACCCAUGAAGGGCCUUCACUAAAAGAUUCUCCAAAAGAAAAACCACACAAAUGCAUGACCUCUAAUUUCAUACACACCAAAGUAGAGAGCAUGGAGAAGGAGAUGAGAACCUAGGGAGGUGUAGGUGCUAGCAUCACACUCCCUAGGUGGUUGGCCAUGGUAGAGGGGAGAAUCAGAGUGCCUCACUAGCCUCACUCAAUCCCCAAAACUCAAAACCUAAGUUGACUCAAGGCUUAGCAAUGUAUAUAGGCUAGGCAUUUUAAGAUGGGUCACCCAUGACCCAUGUGAGUCAUCAAAUGAGUCAAACCCAUUCCACUUCCCUUAUGGCCAAUUUUGGCUUAUUUAUUGGGUCUCUUGUGCUUCUUCAUUUAAGUUGUCAUCUACAACUCAUCUUAUAAGCCCAAUAGGCCUCUAAUAUUUAUAAUCCAAAACUUAUAGUCGAUAGAACUAUGAAUUCCUAGUUUAUAGGAAUAAGAGAACAAGAUGAAUUUUAAGACAAUCAGAGAAACAAAAGGAAGAAGAUUAGGAACUGUUUUGAG
This 796-nucleotide long non-coding RNA is filed under the name Prunus dulcis (almond). RNAcentral describes it as "sRNA ncRNA". Lineage: Eukaryota; Viridiplantae; Streptophyta; Magnoliopsida; Rosales; Rosaceae. The record is from RNAcentral.